GAACUGUAAAUACCAGGUGGUGUGGGCAAGAGAUGUCAGGAGAAGGCACAUACAGCAGAAAUAAUUGUUCUCGGUUGGGAUAAACCAGGAGGGCUUCCCAGGGGAGGUGACAUGUGAGGGAGAUCAGAAUGGAGGCGUCCCAGGACAAGACUUUUCUAACUAACUUAGCUAGAGUGGGGACCACAGGGGAUCCGGAGUAUGUCAUUGUCUCACUUGGCUGAUUUUUCUCAUCUCAGUAGAUGCAGAGGACAGUUGCAGAGCCAUGACACCCUGUUGACUUGGGAGAUGAAGGUGACCUUGCAGCCCCAGCAACCAGAUACCGAACUCCCAGGCUCCCAAAGGGACAUUGUCCAUAGGAGCUUAAAAAGUGAAGUCAUCAGUUUCCUAGCUUCAAAAUUCAAAAGCCUCAUUCCAGGCACAGAUGGGCUGGAAGAAGUUACACUCAGAGCCCAGGUAAAGAUCCUCAGAGCUGGGGAGCUGGGGAGAGGGGCAUAAGAAAGUUAGACAUUGGGGCAUUUUUCAGAAGAGUUGCACACUGCUCUUUUGCUCAGGCCAUGGCUGGGGUGGGUGAAAACUAAUAGAUCCUUGGUCAACAUGGGAAACUGAGGCAAGAGAGUGCCCAUGCCUCACUUUCUAGCUGGCAUCCUGGGAGGUGUUUCUGCUCCCAGCCUUGUAGUGAUGGUGGGGUUUUGUCCUGCACAGGCUGUGUAGGCUUCCUUUAUGGAGAGUGGUUUGCUCAUGUAAAUGGGCUGGGUGGGUACAGAGAGGAUCUGACACCAAUACUUUGGGUUUCCUGUGGCCCCAGAGAGGAGUGGGAGGCCAACUCUUACACCUGAGGGAGGGCACAUACCGACCAAACCAGAGAUUGCAUUUCCUAGCUUCCCUUGUAGCUAGGUAGGGUCAUGUAACAAGGUAUAUUAGUUUACCAUUGUUGCUGUAACAAAUUUCUAUAGACUUAGCC
Molecule: long non-coding RNA, 961 nt
Filed under: Pan troglodytes (chimpanzee)
Lineage: Eukaryota; Metazoa; Chordata; Mammalia; Primates; Hominidae
Description: lncRNA (ENSPTRG00000054409.1)
Source: RNAcentral